RNAcentral lists this ribosomal RNA (609 nucleotides) under Escherichia coli. RNAcentral's name for it is "partial 23S ribosomal RNA". It matches the Rfam family "Bacterial large subunit ribosomal RNA", at positions 614 to 1223 of the family's 2925-position model. The record is from RNAcentral. Lineage: Bacteria; Pseudomonadati; Pseudomonadota; Gammaproteobacteria; Enterobacterales; Enterobacteriaceae.
AAUGGGUCAGCGACUUAUAUUCUGUAGCAAGGUUAACCGAAUAGGGGAGCCGAAGGGAAACCGAGUCUUAACUGGGCGUUAAGUUGCAGGGUAUAGACCCGAAACCCGGUGAUCUAGCCAUGGGCAGGUUGAAGGUUGGGUAACACUAACUGGAGGACCGAACCGACUAAUGUUGAAAAAUUAGCGGAUGACUUGUGGCUGGGGGUGAAAGGCCAAUCAAACCGGGAGAUAGCUGGUUCUCCCCGAAAGCUAUUUAGGUAGCGCCUCGUGAAUUCAUCUCCGGGGGUAGAGCACUGUUUCGGCAAGGGGGUCAUCCCGACUUACCAACCCGAUGCAAACUGCGAAUACCGGAGAAUGUUAUCACGGGAGACACACGGCGGGUGCUAACGUCCGUCGUGAAGAGGGAAACAACCCAGACCGCCAGCUAAGGUCCCAAAGUCAUGGUUAAGUGGGAAACGAUGUGGGAAGGCCCAGACAGCCAGGAUGUUGGCUUAGAAGCAGCCAUCAUUUAAAGAAAGCGUAAUAGCUCACUGGUCGAGUCGGCCUGCGCGGAAGAUGUAACGGGGCUAAACCAUGCACCGAAGCUGCGGCAGCGACGCUUAUGCGUUG